Molecule: ribosomal RNA, 2903 nt
Filed under: Escherichia coli
Lineage: Bacteria; Pseudomonadati; Pseudomonadota; Gammaproteobacteria; Enterobacterales; Enterobacteriaceae
Description: 23S ribosomal RNA
Rfam family: Bacterial large subunit ribosomal RNA
Source: RNAcentral
GGUUAAGCGACUAAGCGUACACGGUGGAUGCCCUGGCAGUCAGAGGCGAUGAAGGACGUGCUAAUCUGCGAUAAGCGUCGGUAAGGUGAUAUGAACCGUUAUAACCGGCGAUUUCCGAAUGGGGAAACCCAGUGUGUUUCGACACACUAUCAUUAACUGAAUCCAUAGGUUAAUGAGGCGAACCGGGGGAACUGAAACAUCUAAGUACCCCGAGGAAAAGAAAUCAACCGAGAUUCCCCCAGUAGCGGCGAGCGAACGGGGAGCAGCCCAGAGCCUGAAUCAGUGUGUGUGUUAGUGGAAGCGUCUGGAAAGGCGCGCGAUACAGGGUGACAGCCCCGUACACAAAAAUGCACAUGCUGUGAGCUCGAUGAGUAGGGCGGGACACGUGGUAUCCUGUCUGAAUAUGGGGGGACCAUCCUCCAAGGCUAAAUACUCCUGACUGACCGAUAGUGAACCAGUACCGUGAGGGAAAGGCGAAAAGAACCCCGGCGAGGGGAGUGAAAAAGAACCUGAAACCGUGUACGUACAAGCAGUGGGAGCACGCUUAGGCGUGUGACUGCGUACCUUUUGUAUAAUGGGUCAGCGACUUAUAUUCUGUAGCAAGGUUAACCGAAUAGGGGAGCCGAAGGGAAACCGAGUCUUAACUGGGCGUUAAGUUGCAGGGUAUAGACCCGAAACCCGGUGAUCUAGCCAUGGGCAGGUUGAAGGUUGGGUAACACUAACUGGAGGACCGAACCGACUAAUGUUGAAAAAUUAGCGGAUGACUUGUGGCUGGGGGUGAAAGGCCAAUCAAACCGGGAGAUAGCUGGUUCUCCCCGAAAGCUAUUUAGGUAGCGCCUCGUGAAUUCAUCUCCGGGGGUAGAGCACUGUUUCGGCAAGGGGGUCAUCCCGACUUACCAACCCGAUGCAAACUGCGAAUACCGGAGAAUGUUAUCACGGGAGACACACGGCGGGUGCUAACGUCCGUCGUGAAGAGGGAAACAACCCAGACCGCCAGCUAAGGUCCCAAAGUCAUGGUUAAGUGGGAAACGAUGUGGGAAGGCCCAGACAGCCAGGAUGUUGGCUUAGAAGCAGCCAUCAUUUAAAGAAAGCGUAAUAGCUCACUGGUCGAGUCGGCCUGCGCGGAAGAUGUAACGGGGCUAAACCAUGCACCGAAGCUGCGGCAGCGACACUAUGUGUUGUUGGGUAGGGGAGCGUUCUGUAAGCCUGUGAAGGUGUGCUGUGAGGCAUGCUGGAGGUAUCAGAAGUGCGAAUGCUGACAUAAGUAACGAUAAAGCGGGUGAAAAGCCCGCUCGCCGGAAGACCAAGGGUUCCUGUCCAACGUUAAUCGGGGCAGGGUGAGUCGACCCCUAAGGCGAGGCCGAAAGGCGUAGUCGAUGGGAAACAGGUUAAUAUUCCUGUACUUGGUGUUACUGCGAAGGGGGGACGGAGAAGGCUAUGUUGGCCGGGCGACGGUUGUCCCGGUUUAAGCGUGUAGGCUGGUUUUCCAGGCAAAUCCGGAAAAUCAAGGCUGAGGCGUGAUGACGAGGCACUACGGUGCUGAAGCAACAAAUGCCCUGCUUCCAGGAAAAGCCUCUAAGCAUCAGGUAACAUCAAAUCGUACCCCAAACCGACACAGGUGGUCAGGUAGAGAAUACCAAGGCGCUUGAGAGAACUCGGGUGAAGGAACUAGGCAAAAUGGUGCCGUAACUUCGGGAGAAGGCACGCUGAUAUGUAGGUGAAGCGACUUGCUCGUGGAGCUGAAAUCAGUCGAAGAUACCAGCUGGCUGCAACUGUUUAUUAAAAACACAGCACUGUGCAAACACGAAAGUGGACGUAUACGGUGUGACGCCUGCCCGGUGCCGGAAGGUUAAUUGAUGGGGUCAGCGCAAGCGAAGCUCUUGAUCGAAGCCCCGGUAAACGGCGGCCGUAACUAUAACGGUCCUAAGGUAGCGAAAUUCCUUGUCGGGUAAGUUCCGACCUGCACGAAUGGCGUAAUGAUGGCCAGGCUGUCUCCACCCGAGACUCAGUGAAAUUGAACUCGCUGUGAAGAUGCAGUGUACCCGCGGCAAGACGGAAAGACCCCGUGAACCUUUACUAUAGCUUGACACUGAACAUUGAGCCUUGAUGUGUAGGAUAGGUGGGAGGCUUAGAAGUGUGGACGCCAGUCUGCAUGGAGCCGACCUUGAAAUACCACCCUUUAAUGUUUGAUGUUCUAACGUUGACCCGUAAUCCGGGUUGCGGACAGUGUCUGGUGGGUAGUUUGACUGGGGCGGUCUCCUCCUAAAGAGUAACGGAGGAGCACGAAGGUUGGCUAAUCCUGGUCGGACAUCAGGAGGUUAGUGCAAUGGCAUAAGCCAGCUUGACUGCGAGCGUGACGGCGCGAGCAGGUGCGAAAGCAGGUCAUAGUGAUCCGGUGGUUCUGAAUGGAAGGGCCAUCGCUCAACGGAUAAAAGGUACUCCGGGGAUAACAGGCUGAUACCGCCCAAGAGUUCAUAUCGACGGCGGUGUUUGGCACCUCGAUGUCGGCUCAUCACAUCCUGGGGCUGAAGUAGGUCCCAAGGGUAUGGCUGUUCGCCAUUUAAAGUGGUACGCGAGCUGGGUUUAGAACGUCGUGAGACAGUUCGGUCCCUAUCUGCCGUGGGCGCUGGAGAACUGAGGGGGGCUGCUCCUAGUACGAGAGGACCGGAGUGGACGCAUCACUGGUGUUCGGGUUGUCAUGCCAAUGGCACUGCCCGGUAGCUAAAUGCGGAAGAGAUAAGUGCUGAAAGCAUCUAAGCACGAAACUUGCCCCGAGAUGAGUUCUCCCUGACUCCUUGAGAGUCCUGAAGGAACGUUGAAGACGACGACGUUGAUAGGCCGGGUGUGUAAGCGCAGCGAUGCGUUGAGCUAACCGGUACUAAUGAACCGUGAGGCUUAACCUU